This is a long non-coding RNA of Tupaia belangeri chinensis (Chinese tree shrew), 109 nucleotides long. RefSeq lists it as uncharacterized. The record is from RefSeq and is a predicted model, not a curated record. Lineage: Eukaryota; Metazoa; Chordata; Mammalia; Scandentia; Tupaiidae. The transcript is spliced from 5 exons.
CUACAGAAUCCUCUUCUAGUCCACCUUCAGGGUCCAGUGGUUUGCCCCUGGCACCCAUAAUGAUUUCCCAGAGAACCACAACAACAUCUGGAAAGUCUCAAAGUAAGUC